AACGCACAUUGCGCCCCCUGGCAUUCCGGGGGGCAUGCCUGUCCGAGCGUCAUUUCUGCCCUCAAGCACGGCUUGUGUGUUGGGUGUGGUCCCCCUGGGGACCUGCCUGAAAGGCAGUGGCGACGCCCGCCUAGGUCCUCGAGCGUAUGGGGCUUUGUCACUCGCUCUGCAGGGCCGGCCGGCGCCAGCCGUCCACAACCUUUUUUUUUUUACCAGGUUGACCUCGGAUCAGGUAGGGAUACCCGCUGAACUUAA
Molecule: unclassified non-coding RNA, 255 nt
Filed under: uncultured Ascomycota
Lineage: Eukaryota; Fungi; Ascomycota
Description: sequence contains 5.8S rRNA gene, ITS2, 28S rRNA gene
Source: RNAcentral